This is a long non-coding RNA of Pipra filicauda (Wire-tailed manakin), 532 nucleotides long. RefSeq lists it as uncharacterized. The record is from RefSeq and is a predicted model, not a curated record. The transcript has 3 exons. Lineage: Eukaryota; Metazoa; Chordata; Aves; Passeriformes; Pipridae.
GGCGGGGAGCAGUGGUGCACCACACCGCCAGGCUGAGCCUCAGCCUUCAGUGUGGGGCAGAGCACCUGUGCCCUGCAAAAUGCAAACUCUGUGCUCCUCAAACAAUGUUAAAAUGAACUAUACAGGGAGGCAAAGGUCAAGUGAACCAUUAUUGUGCUGCAUUUUAUGCAAACAAAAAAAAUGUAUUAGAGGAUGUGCUUUGUAUUGUAACAAGCAGGGUCCAGCCCAACUCCCCAGUGAGCUCCUCACCAACCACUUGUGGCCCCUUCCCACACAGCUGUGCGGAACCUGGCUUUGUCUGGCAUCUCGUAAUCCUGACCAGCUCAGGAAAAGGAGUCACUUGUUGCCUGGACGUUGGAUUGAGCGGUGAAAGUGACCACAAAUGAAUCAGUAGAUUAGUUCCAGUCUAUUUUUGAAUUGCAAGAUAAACUUGCUCUGCACAGAGAACAAGCUGUGUUGUACCUGCUAUCCUGUCAUUCCAAAUUUCCUCCAUCAGACUGAAGGGCCAAGAAAAAAGAGCAAGUUAUAAAAA